UCACAAAAAAUAAACAAGUGUGUUUGCUCAAUUUAUUUUCAAAUAUGUACAAAUAACAUAAAAAUUAAUGCGCACGAUUAUUUGCAACGUCACAAUGACGCUGAUUAUGACUGAAAAGUUAUAGGUAAAAGUAUAGUUGUCUCUGCAACUGAUACAAAAAUAUAUAUUCUCUGUACAAAAUGUCAACUUGUAAAAAUGAAAAUUUAAAUUUAUUAGUUCCUAAAUUAGAUGAGUAAAAUUUUUUGUUAGAAUUGACACAAAACGAUGCUUUGCGAAGUAUCAUCCGCGUACGAUUUGCUCUCUUUGAGUAUGGUAUUCCAGCGGUGUUGAUUUUCGUAUGAUAGAAAAAUAUUGCUAAAAUAUUUGCUGGUUUUCAACAGCAUAAUAUGCGAAUCUGGUGAGGCAAAUAUUUGAUCAGGAAAGAUAUAAAGCCCAAGUUUGAAGUAUGAUUAGACCAUAAUCCUAUGUUAUUAGAAAAACGGUAUUCAAUAAAUACAGUAACUGUCACAUAUGAAAGGUGAAUUUCGUUUAAAAUGAUAACUAGGUUUCAGAAUCUAAUUAUGAUAAUUUGAUAUUUGUUAAACAGUUUUACGUCACGCUGACGUCAUUAAAUUGGCAACACGGGAGGGAAACUAAUUUCUCUUUACAUUGCAUAAAAAUUAUUCUUUCAAUUCAAAAAUUAGUCGUCAUUAAAAUUGACGUCAUCAAAAAUGACGUCAC
Non-coding RNA from Styela clava, 720 nucleotides. NCBI's taxonomy places the organism in Eukaryota, Metazoa, Chordata, Ascidiacea, Stolidobranchia, Styelidae. The record is from RefSeq and is a predicted model, not a curated record.